This 1206-nucleotide long non-coding RNA is filed under the name Monodelphis domestica (gray short-tailed opossum). RNAcentral's name for it is "lncRNA (ENSMODG00000032465.2)". Lineage: Eukaryota; Metazoa; Chordata; Mammalia; Didelphimorphia; Didelphidae. The record is from RNAcentral.
CUCACAUAUGAUGUCUUCCAAUGAGGAUCUUCUCAGAGUUAUAGUAAAGAAGGAGCAAUGCCAAGGCUAAAGCUCUCUGCCCUUCCACAAUUUCUUCCAGCUCUCUUUAUCCUUUUUGGCAGCUGACAAAGAUCGGAGAGGCUUGCCAGUCAAAGCUAUCAGUAGAGAAGGUGAUACAGAGUCAGAGCUCAGAGAGCCCUGCUUUCAUUUGUCCCAAGCUCCCCUCUCUGACAUGCACCCCCAGUCCCCUGAUCAUUUUCUCUUGGAAGAGAACUAGGGCCCCUUUCCUAGACUCAAUCCCCCCAUUGUAUGUAUGACUUUUUGCUUUACUAGUAGUAGAAAGACUACAUUGUUUUCUCUCUCAUCUUUAAACACUGAGAUGGAGCUAGCCUUGUGGGGAGAUCCUGGACAGCGGCCAAGACUUCGAGGGUUGAGAAAAGAAACAUCCAAACUGUUCUUUUAGAAUUCAGCCUACAGGAAAACAUGAAUUCAUGUGAGAGCUGGGCAGAGAUCUCCUUCCAAGGUCCUGUAUAUCUCUUCUUCCCCCUCUGACCUUGCCUGCCCCAGGUGCCAUCUCCCAGUUGGCUUGUUCUUCUGAAGAUGUCUGAAUGUCCUGUAAAUACAGAUGAUGGAUACCAGUCAUUUGAAGUUUCUACCCAACCCCCUCCGAUCUCAUCACCUAAAUCCAGAAUGAGUGAAGUGGAUGUAUGUGGAGGUGAUAGAAGAAGAGAAAUGGACUACAUGUCAAAAUGACAAUUUGGAUUAAGUGAUUAAUAUAAUGAGAAGAACACGUGAUUAAUGAGGGUGUUUGUACUACUUAGUCAUACAAUGCAUUCAUUUUUCUAAUGUUUCAGGAAGAUCUUCUCUCCAGUCUAUCUGGAUUUCAGUGAUUUUUUAAAAGUACACUCAUUUAAUGAAUGUGGGAUUGAAAAACAACUCUAAAUGAUCUAUAGUUUGCUAUAUUACUAUUUGUAUAUGUAGAGAAAAGUUAUACUUGGUACCGGAACCCUAGUUUGGGAAUGGUAGACCUAAGGAGAAAGUCUGCUAUACAAGUUAAGUAGAACAUAUUUGGAAAAAAACUAAAUAACACUAGAAAGGUAAAGCACUGACUUAUUUAAAAUAUCUAUGGAUAUUAUAUUUUGAUAUUUGAUAAACAUAUAGAACAUGAUAAAUAAAUAAACAUAUCUAAAUAAAAGUGUGAAAUUC